This 75-nucleotide microRNA precursor is filed under the name Bombyx mori (domestic silkworm). Its description in RNAcentral is "mir-2807 microRNA precursor family". It matches the Rfam family "mir-2807 microRNA precursor family". The record is from Rfam by way of RNAcentral. Lineage: Eukaryota; Metazoa; Arthropoda; Insecta; Lepidoptera; Bombycidae.
UUAACUCAACUUUGUAUGGAGUUUGAACGUUUGCCUACGUUUGCCGCUGUUCCGACUGCAUACAAAUUUGAGUUA